ACCUACGGGACGCAGCAGUAGGGAAUCUUCCACAAUGGACGAAAGUCUGAUGGAGCAACGCCGCGUGAGUGAAGAAGGGUUUCGGCUCGUAAAGCUCUGUUGGUAGUGAAGAAAGAUAGAGGUAGUAACUGGCCUUUAUUUGACGGUAAUUACUUAGAAAGUCACGGCUAACUACGUGCCAGCAGCCGCGGUAAUACGUAGGUGGCAAGCGUUGUCCGGACUUAUCGGGCGUAAAGCGAGUGCAGGCGGUUUCAUAAGUCUGAUGUGAAAACC
RNAcentral lists this ribosomal RNA (273 nucleotides) under uncultured bacterium. Its description in RNAcentral is "partial 16S ribosomal RNA". It matches the Rfam family "Bacterial small subunit ribosomal RNA", at positions 337 to 602 of the family's 1533-position model. The record is from RNAcentral.